UGCAGUCGACGCUUUGUGGUUCAACUGAUUUGAAGAGCUUGCUCAGAUAUGACGAUGGACAUUGCAAAGAGUGGCGAACGGGUGAGUAACACGUGGGAAACCUACCUCUUAGCAGGGGAUAACAUUUGGAAACAGAUGCUAAUACCGUAUAACAAUAGCAACCGCAUGGUUGCUACUUAAAAGAUGGUUCUGCUAUCACUAAGAGAUGGUCCCGCGGUGCAUUAGUUAGUUGGUGAGGUAAUGGCUCACCAAGACGAUGAUGCAUAGCCGAGUUGAGAGACUGAUCGGCCACAAUGGGACUGAGACACGGCCCAUACUCCUACGGGAGGCAGCAGUAGGGAAUCUUCCACAAUGGGCGAAAGCCUGAUGGAGCAACGCCGCGUGUGUGAUGAAGGGUUUCGGCUCGUAAAACACUGUUGUAAGAGAAGAAUGACAUUGAGAGUAACUGUUCAAUGUGUGACGGUAUCUUACCAGAAAGGAACGGCUAAAUACGUGCCAGCAGCCGCGGUAAUACGUAUGUUCCAAGCGUUAUCCGGAUUUAUUGGGCGUAAAGCGAGCGCAGACGGUUAUUUAAGUCUGAAGUGAAAGCCCUCAGCUCAACUGAGGAAUUGCUUUGGAAACUGGAUGACUUGAGUGCAGUAGAGGAAAGUGGAACUCCAUGUGUAGCGGUGAAAUGCGUAGAUAUAUGGAAGAACACCAGUGGCGAAGGCGGCUUUCUGGACUGUAACUGACGUUGAGGCUCGAAAGUGUGGGUAGCAACAGGAUUAGAUACCCUGGUAGUCCACACCGUAACGAUGAGUG
RNAcentral lists this ribosomal RNA (801 nucleotides) under Weissella cibaria. Its description in RNAcentral is "bacterial SSU rRNA". It matches the Rfam family "Bacterial small subunit ribosomal RNA", at positions 56 to 815 of the family's 1533-position model. The record is from RNAcentral. Lineage: Bacteria; Bacillati; Bacillota; Bacilli; Lactobacillales; Lactobacillaceae.